This is a non-coding RNA of Camellia sinensis, 574 nucleotides long. The record is from RefSeq and is a predicted model, not a curated record. NCBI's taxonomy places the organism in Eukaryota, Viridiplantae, Streptophyta, Magnoliopsida, Ericales, Theaceae.
CACCAGAGUGCUGUUUAGGUCUAACAUACGGUGGCAAAGCAGUUGACACGUGGGCUGUGGGAGUUACAUUGAAGGUGUACUCACUCUUCCCACUAUUUUCUUAGAUCUGAAUGGCAGCAUAAACAGCUCAAAUCUGAACACAUAUGCAAGGCGAUAAUUGAUUAUGAAGGCUGCAGAUGUAGUUUUUAUUGCAGAACCUUGGACUGCCAUGGACAGCAAAGACCAUUCUGCAGGUUAUCGAGCAAGUUGAAGUUGAGUAUGUACUAGAAAAGGCUGAAUUUGAUGGUCAUUUGGAUGAGGAGUUUAGGAACGAUUCUCUGAAUUCUCUGGUGUUUACAUAUAUACAAAAGCAGAUUGGUGUAGAUCUGCCUAUUAUAACCCAUGUAUCUGGAUUUAUUUAUUUAUUUUUUUUUUUUUUUUUUUUUAAUGUCUUGUAAUAUUUGUUCACUUUGAAAAAUGGUACCAAUUUUAUAUCGUUUAUAAAUUGUCCUUUUCUACAUUGAAGUACAAUGAAAUAUUACUGAAAUUCAAGGACCUAGGUAAGUAAGUGUGAAUGGGGGAGCAGUUUUGAAAA